GGUAGCAUGCCAGAGUGGUUAAUGGGUGGGAUUUGAAUGUCUUCUGUAUCCUAUGGGUUUGCCCGCGCAGGUUCGAAUCCUGCUGCUAUCG
RNAcentral lists this transfer RNA (91 nucleotides) under Verticillium longisporum. RNAcentral describes it as "Verticillium dahliae var. longisporum tRNA". It matches the Rfam family "tRNA". From Rfam's summary of the family: Transfer RNA (tRNA) molecules are approximately 80 nucleotides in length. Their secondary structure includes four short double-helical elements and three loops (D, anti-codon, and T loops). Further hydrogen bonds mediate the characteristic L-shaped molecular structure. tRNAs have two regions of fundamental functional importance: the anti-codon, which is responsible for specific mRNA codon recognition, and the 3' end, to which the tRNAs corresponding amino acid is attached (by aminoacyl-tRNA synthetases). tRNAs cope with the degeneracy of the genetic code in two manners: having more than one tRNA (with a specific anti-codon) for a particular amino acid; and 'wobble' base-pairing, i.e. permitting non-standard base-pairing at the 3rd anti-codon position. Lineage: Eukaryota; Fungi; Ascomycota; Sordariomycetes; Glomerellales; Plectosphaerellaceae. The record is from Rfam by way of RNAcentral.